AUUGCAGGCUGCAACCCGCCUGCAUGAAGUUGGAAUCGCUAGUAAUCGCGGAUCAGCAUGCCGCGGUGAAUACGUUCCCGGGCCUUGUACACACCGCCCGUCACACCAUGAGAGUCGGGAACACCCGAAGUCCGUAGCCUAACCGCAAGGGGGGCGCGGCCGAAGGUGGGUUCGAUAAUUGGGGUGAAGUCGUAACAAGGUAGC
RNAcentral lists this ribosomal RNA (204 nucleotides) under uncultured bacterium. RNAcentral's name for it is "partial 16S ribosomal RNA". It matches the Rfam family "Bacterial small subunit ribosomal RNA", at positions 1297 to 1500 of the family's 1533-position model. The record is from RNAcentral.